UAAGGAAUAUUGGUCAAUGGAGGCAACUCUGAACCAGCCAUGCCGCGUGCAGGAAGAAGGCGCUACGCGUUGUAAACUGCUUUUGUAUGGGAGAAAACCCCGGUACGUGUACCGGGUUGAUAGUACCAUAAGAAUAAGCAUCGGCUAACUUCGUGCCAGCAGCCGCGGUAAGACGAAGGAUGCAAGCGUUAUCCGGAUUCAUUGGGUUUAAAGGGUGCGUAGGCGGCCUUGUAAGUCAGUGGUGAAAUCUCUCAGCUUAACUGAGAAACUGCCAUUGAUACUGCAAGGCUCGAGUACAGAUGAUGUUGGCGGAAUAUGACAUGUAGCGGUGAAAUGCAUAGAUAUGUCAUAGAACACCGAUUGCGAAGGCAGCUGACAAAACUGUAACUGACGCUGAGGCACGAAAGUGUGGGGAUCAAACAGG
Molecule: ribosomal RNA, 424 nt
Filed under: uncultured bacterium
Lineage: Bacteria
Description: bacterial SSU rRNA
Rfam family: Bacterial small subunit ribosomal RNA
Source: RNAcentral